UCUUAAAACAUGUUUUAUUUUAUGAUAAUUGUUGUUGAAUACUUCUAAUCUAUCAGAUUAAGUUUAAUAAGUUGUUUUUCUAGAUGGUUGUAUAAAUUUUUCUAAUAGAACAUGUUUAAUCUAAUAUUAUAAUAAUUAACAAAGUUUUAAAAUUUUCUUGUAUAAGGUGUUUUACAAGAGUCUAUUCUAAUUAUGUAAUUCAAAAUUGUAUGAUACUUUAAUUAAUUGAUCUUAUAGAUGAAUGUCUAAAUAUAUUUUUAUACACACCAUAAACCAUAUUGAUCACAUAUACACCAUUUUACUACUAGCAAAGAUGCUACAUAAAAAAAAUCAAUAUGUAAUUAUAAUAAUAAUAAUAAUAAUAAUAAUUUUGUAUUUUUUUUGCUAGUACCAAAAAGAUAAUCUUUAAAUUAUAUAAAGAAAUUUAAUUAAAUAGCUUUAAAUAAAUCUUACUAUUAAAGUUAGUCAAGUCUUAUUCCUUAUUAUAUAUAUUAGGUAAACUUCUUGUCAAGUUUAAUAAAAUUAGCUUUAUUGCUAAGCACUAGCCAAUUAUCAAAGAUCCAAGAAGAGACUCUAUAUUCAUUAAUUGAUUUAAGACCAAUGAAGAAUAUAUCAAAUUAAAUGCCAAUUUUAUUAAAAAG
This 641-nucleotide long non-coding RNA is filed under the name Physcomitrium patens. RNAcentral describes it as "long non-coding RNA (PPAT_LNC014806)". Lineage: Eukaryota; Viridiplantae; Streptophyta; Bryopsida; Funariales; Funariaceae. The record is from RNAcentral.